RNAcentral lists this ribosomal RNA (496 nucleotides) under uncultured bacterium. RNAcentral's name for it is "partial 16S ribosomal RNA". It matches the Rfam family "Bacterial small subunit ribosomal RNA", at positions 29 to 507 of the family's 1533-position model. The record is from RNAcentral.
AUGAACGCUGGCGGCGUGCCUAAUACCUGCAAGUCGAGCGAACGGACGAGAAGCUUGCUUCUCUGAUGUUAGCGGCGGACGGGUGAGUAACACGUGGAUAACCUACCUAUAAGACUGGGAUAACUUCGGGAAACCGGAGCUAAUACCGGAUAAUAUUUUGAACCGCAUGGUUCAAAAGUGAAAGACGGUCUUGCCGUCACUUAUGGAUGGAUCCGCGCUGCAUUAGCUAGUUGGUAAGGUAACGGCUUACCAAGGCAACGAUGCAUAGCCGACCUGAGAGGGUGAUCGGCCACACUGGAACUGAGACACGGUCCAGACUCCUACGGGAGGCAGCAGUAGGGAAUCUUCCGCAAUGGGCGAAAGCCUGACGGAGCAACGCCGCGUGAGUGAUGAAGGUCUUCGGAUCGUAAAACUCUGUUAUUAGGGAAGAACAUAUGUGUAAGUAACUGUGCACAUCUUGACGGUACCUAAUCAGAAAGCCACGGCUAACUACGUG